RNAcentral lists this ribosomal RNA (303 nucleotides) under uncultured bacterium. RNAcentral's name for it is "partial 16S ribosomal RNA". It matches the Rfam family "Bacterial small subunit ribosomal RNA", at positions 507 to 807 of the family's 1533-position model. The record is from RNAcentral.
AGCAGUAGCCGCGGGAAUACGGAGGGGGCUAGCGUUGUUCGGAAUUACUGGGCGUAAAGCGCACGUAGGCGGCUUGGUAAGUUAGAGGUGAAAGCCCGGAGCUCAACUCCGGAAUUGCCUUUAAGACUGCCGAGCUAGUAGGUGAGAGAGGUAAGUGGAAUUCCGAGUGUAGAGGUGAAAUUCGUAGAUAUUCGGAAGAACACCAGUGGCGAAGGCGGCUUACUGGCUCAUUCUAGACGCUGAGGUGCGAAAGCGUGGGGAGUAAACAGGAUUAGAGACCCCCGUAGUCCCUGUCUCUUAUAC